AGUCUGUGCUGUCACACACCGCGCCAGAGCGUUUGCUCGGCAGGAUCUGCGAGCAGGAAGCCCCUCGCAGGCACGGGGCAGGAACGCGAGGCUCCCCACGGCUCUCACAUCCCCGGGUCAGCCGAGUCUUCAGAUUGGGAGAAGGUCUAGCAGAUGCUCUAGAACUUGAGCAUCAAGACUGGGUUGAGAUGCUGCCAUUGGUGAACAUGGCAAGCAUGCAAACAGUACAACCAGAAAUCCUUGGGCUCCUGCAAAAGUUAAAGGUAUCAAGUCAUGUAUAUAAAAAAUGACACAUAAGUACCUUGUUAUCCCAUCUGCUUCUGUGCCUGUAAAUUCUGAAGCUCAGCAGCAGGUAACAAGGACCAUCUUCCUUUGUACAUAAUUCUAGGUGUAAUUAAAGAUACUCCUGAAACCUGCUAUGUGUCAGCUUCUUAACGGAUAGAGCCCUCACCCCCCUGAAGUACUCUGCUGCCAUCCAUUACAAUUCUGCUUCAGUGAUAAGCAUGCUCAUGGCUCAAGAACACAGCCGCUCACCCUUCUGCAAGCACAGGACAGAAAGAAGUCCUGCUAUCAUCUCUUGUACCCCUCGCCUGGCUCCAGCUUCCCAGAGGCACGAACGGAUUCAAGAGUCUGUUGGAUUUUUGGUGGAGUUUGGUGUUUUCUUGCACUGAUACACGAUUGAGCUUCUCAUGACAGCAAAGGAAAAUGACUCAAUAAUUGAAAAUAGUAGCAAUUUUACUGAAGGUUCAGGGAACAAGCUAUUUGCAUGACCGCGGUACAGCUAAAGGAGACGUGCACCGCCUAAAAUAUUUCUUUCAAAAUAGUCCGAAAAGAUGUUCUCAGUGCUGCACAAACCUAUGAUUGCAGUGAAACAACAAGCGAAACAAAACAAUCCCUGCAGAAAUAUUUCAGCUACUCCAACUCACACUGGCCACCACUAGAGCCUGGAGAGAGGGGAGGCAGGAAAGAAAAAGGCAAGUCCUAAAUCCAGACAGAAAUCUGACGCUUUGUUAUAAUAUAUGCCUGGGAGGGUUAUUUUCUGCC
This is a non-coding RNA of Agelaius phoeniceus (red-winged blackbird), 1044 nucleotides long. The record is from RefSeq and is a predicted model, not a curated record. Lineage: Eukaryota; Metazoa; Chordata; Aves; Passeriformes; Icteridae.